Molecule: ribosomal RNA, 425 nt
Filed under: uncultured bacterium
Lineage: Bacteria
Description: partial 16S ribosomal RNA
Rfam family: Bacterial small subunit ribosomal RNA
Source: RNAcentral
GUGGGGAAUAUUGCACAAUGGGGGAAACCCUGAUGCAGCGACGCCGAGUGAGUGAAGAAGUAUUUCGGUACGUAAAGCUCUAUCAGCAAGGAAGAAAAUGACGGUACUUGACUAAGAAGCCCCGGCUAACUACGUGCCAGCAGCCGCGGUAAUACGUAGGGGGCAAGCGUUAUCCGGAUUUACUGGGUGUAAAGGGAGCGUAGACGGUAUGGUAAGUCAGAUGUGAAAGCCCGGGGCUCAACCCCGGGACUGCAUUUGAAACUAUCAGACUAGAGUGCAGGAGAGGUAAGUGGAAUUCCUAGUGUAGCGGUGAAAUGCGUAGAUAUUAGGAGGAACACCAGUGGCGAAGGCGGCUUACUGGACUGUAACUGACGUUGAGGCUCGAAAGCGUGGGGAGCAAACAGGAUUAGAAACCCGGGUAGUCC